This 372-nucleotide ribosomal RNA is filed under the name uncultured bacterium. RNAcentral describes it as "bacterial SSU rRNA". It matches the Rfam family "Bacterial small subunit ribosomal RNA", at positions 524 to 898 of the family's 1533-position model. The record is from RNAcentral.
UACGGAGGAUGCAAGCGUUAUCCGGAUUUAUUGGGUUUAAAGGGUGCGCAGGUUGUUUUAUAAGUCAGUGGUGAAAGUCUGUCGCUUAACGAUAGGAUUGCCAUUGAUACUGUAGGACUUGAGUAUGGAUGAGGUAGGCGGAAUGUGUAGUGUAGCGGUGAAAUGCAUAGAUAUUACACAGAACGCCGAUUGCGAAGGCAGCUUACUAAUCCAUGACUGACGCUGAGGCACGAAAGCGUGGGGAUCAAACAGGAUUAGAUACCCUGGUAGUCCACGCCGUAAACGAUGAUCACUCGCUGUUUGCGAUAUACAGUAAGCGGCUUAGCGAAAGCAAUAAGUGAUCCACCUGGGGAGUACGAUCGCAAGGUUGAA